UCUCCCCUCAUAAUGCUUUUGAGUAUUUGGUGUGAUUAUCUUAAAACCACACCCGAUUCGCGUGCGUGGGUCUGUUUCCUGAUCAGUUUUGUAAAACGCGGAAAUCCACUGACUUCCAUGGGCAAUUCGCAAGGGGAAAAGGGGGAAGUUCAAUCAGAUGUGUUAAUUACCUCCAAGACUGAAUAAUACGCACAUAACAGAGACUGGAAAAUAGUGGGCAGACAUGUCCCAAGAUGGGGGGUGUUACACUUGGAUAUGGACGUGUUUUUUUGAGUACUCGACACCAAAAAUACUGCUGAUCCGAAGCAGGAAAGUAGGAGCGAUCAACCGAUUUAUUCAGGCUGUAAUCAUUGGAUACGUGAUCGGGUAUGUAUGUGUGCUGAAGAAAGGCUACCAGGAGACUGACACUGUUUUGAGCUCUGUCACCACCAAGGUCAAGGGCAUUGCACUGACAAACACCACAGCAAUGGGUCUGCGUGUUUGGGACGUGGCUGACUACGUCAUCCCCCCUCAGGUACCAACUAAACCCGAGAAGGAGGAAGAGAGUUCCUUCUUCGUCAUGACCAACAUGAUCAUCACCCCAGGUCAAAAUCAGAGUCACUGUCCUGAGAUCCCCAGUGCAACAGCUAAUUGCUCAUCAGAUGGCGACUGCAUGGCGGGGUUCAGCGACACACGCGGGAAUGGUGUGCAGACGGGGAGGUGUGUGAACUACUCAGCCUCAGCCAAGACCUGUGAGGUUUUGGCCUGGUGUCCAUUGGAAGAAGAUGUAGACCCACCAGAACCGCCAAUCUUGGCAGCAGCCGAAAACUUCACCGUUCUGAUUAAAAAUCACAUCCGAUAUCCCAAAUUCAACUUUAGCAGAAGGAACAUCCUGCCCCAUAUCAACAGCACCUACCUGACAAACUGUGUAUUCAGUCGCACCACCGACCCAGACUGCCCCAUCUUCAGGCUCAGGGACAUCGUCUCCGAGGCCCAAGAAGAUUUUCAGGACAUGGCUGUAAAUGGUGGGGUGAUGGGCAUCCAGAUUAGGUGGGACUGUGACCUGGACAUGCCAGAGAGCUGGUGCGUUCCUAAAUACACCUUCCGACGCCUGGACAACAAGGACCCAGAGAACACUGUGGCACCUGGGUACAGUUUCCGAUUUGCAAAGUAUUACAGUGACGGCGAAGUCGAAACCAGGACACUAAUCAAAGCAUUUGGCAUUCGGUUCGACGUUAUGGUAUUUGGCAAGGCGGGCAAAUUCAACAUUGUACCAAUGCUGCUAAAUGUUGGCGCGGGACUUGCCCUCAUGGGUCUGUUUAUUUAAAGGUUACAGUUGUAUGUGAUUGGAUAGUAUUGACUUUCAUGAAGAAGAAGAACAUAUACAAGGAACAGAAAUACUCAUAUGUGGAUGACUUUGAGUUGCUUUCUGAAGAAAUUCCCUAAGGACCUUGGGUACCAUCCUGCUGGAGAUGGACGUGGCAGAUGGACGAUAAGAGCAAAUAAAGGUGCUGACUCAGCAUUCUGGGAAGUAACUGCAACUCAGAUUCAAUAGCCCAUGAACUGUAUUUUUUUUUUUUUUUAAUACUGUUUAAAUCAGGUUAACUUGUAUAAAUAUUAUCUGCGUAUGUUAAUGAAACAAUAAACCAGGUGAUUAAAUGCAGCAAAUGAGAUGUAGUCAAAUGACAGUAUGCUACAGUGGUAAAUCUAUGUUUAUAUUUUGAUACCAAUGUUGAUAACAGAUAUAUAUGUAUGUGUGUCUAAGGCUGAUCUCACCUAUUGCAAUUCAGUGUUUAAUUUAUGCAUUUAACGAAAUGUAUAGAAGGAGCAGGAUUUAAUAUUACAUGAGUUCUUACCCCCCCCCCCAUUCAUUCCAAUUUGGGCUCCUGCUACAAAUAAUAGCAAUAAUUAAUAAUUUUCCAGAAUUAAUAUAAUGUCACAGUAAAACAGACUGGGUCCAAUGUAUUCCGUCAGGCUGCUGCAAAAAAUGCAUUGAAAUUGCAAAGAGCUCACCCUACCCGUACUGCUUAAAGGCAACUGUACUUUAUUCAAAUUAUCAACCAGAUACAAUAUGUAUAGAUUAGUAAAGUAUCAGAUCAUUGGCAAAUCCUUCAUUCACCACAGGAGAGGAAAAAAAAAAAAAAAAACAUGCGUUUGUAAAUAUGG
Non-coding RNA from Paramormyrops kingsleyae, 2145 nucleotides. Lineage: Eukaryota; Metazoa; Chordata; Actinopteri; Osteoglossiformes; Mormyridae. The record is from RefSeq and is a predicted model, not a curated record.